AAACUGGAAAGGAAAAAGUAAAAUUACGUCUGCUGGAAGACGGUAGGCGGAUCACUUGAGGCCAGGAAUUCAAGACCAGCCUGGCCAACAUGGUAAAACCCCAUCUCUAGAAAAAAUACAAAAAUUAUCUGGGCAUGGUGGCACAUGUCUGUAAUCCCAGCUACUUGGGAGGCUGAGGCAGGAGAAUCACUUGACCCCAGGAGGUGGAGGUUGUAGUGAGCUGAGAUCACGCCACUGCACUCCAACCCG
This 249-nucleotide long non-coding RNA is filed under the name Pan troglodytes (chimpanzee). RNAcentral's name for it is "long non-coding RNA NONPTRT001706". The record is from RNAcentral. Lineage: Eukaryota; Metazoa; Chordata; Mammalia; Primates; Hominidae.